AUACGGAGGAUGCGAGCGUUAUCCGGAUUUAUUGGGUUUAAAGGGUGCGUAGGCUGUGCGUUAAGUCAGCGGUGAAACGCAAGGGCUCAACCCUUGACCUGCCGUUGAAACUGGAGGACUUGAAUGCGGAUGCUGUGGGAGGAAUGUGUGGUGUAGCGGUGAAAUGCAUAGAUAUCACACAGAACACCGAUUGCGAAGGCAUCUCACAAAUCCGUGAUUGACGCAGAGGCACGAAAGUGUGGGGAUCAAACAGGAUUAGAUACCCUGGUAGUCCACACUGUAAACGAUGAUGACUCGCUGUCGGCGAUAUACAGUCGGUGGCCAAGCGAAAGCGAUAAGUCAUCCACCUGGGGAGUACGACCGCAAGGUUGAAACUCAAAGGAAUCGACGGGG
Molecule: ribosomal RNA, 393 nt
Filed under: uncultured bacterium
Lineage: Bacteria
Description: partial 16S ribosomal RNA
Rfam family: Bacterial small subunit ribosomal RNA
Source: RNAcentral